GACGAUCGAUGUAACACUUACCCAUCGAUCGAUAUCUAACCGGUCAGAUGUAUCUUACCUACUUGUUACAUUUCGUACAUCAUACACUUUUCAUCAUAACUCCGGCUGAGUUACACUGGGACAGUGUAAUUUAAGUCUGGGGGGAGAUUUACUGAUAUAAUUUAUUUUAUUCUUACGUAAAAAGGAAUUUCAAAUAAAUUAUGCUUAGCUAUCGAAAAUAGGGACUAUAAUCUUAUACUGGUUUAAACAUGAAUAUCUAACCAAUCUUUAGCACCAUUUUAGAUUUACUGAUUGCAGAUAGCACUAAAGAUGCUAAAGCAGAUCAACCUAUCAACUACACACUUGCCUUGAACCGUAUGAAGUAACAAAAGCUGAUCUCCAACACUAAACCUGACAUAACCGAUUGUCUUGGGGCUUGGUAUACAUGGGAUCGGAUUCUUCAGAUAGGUCUGGAAGGUAACGCCUGGUUUAGAUUAUUUAUCACAUUUUCUCUCUCUAGAUUUCGACCCUAGAUUAGUUAAUUAAAAAAAACAUAUAAAUAAAUAAAUAAUAAUAAAUAAAAAAUAAAAUAAAAUAUAAGAAAGAUCUAUUGUUUAAUUAGGAUGAGUCUGAACAGGACUUGGUGGCUAAAACCAUUAAGGCUUGAUUCAUAAAGACUCUAAUAAAAGAGUUCGAAACGGGACUUGGAGGCGGAAAUCUUCAAGGCUCGCUUUCGCAAAGAACUCUUGGAUAUAGGUCAAAAAGAAGUGAACAGAACUUGGUGGCAACCACCAUUAAGUUUUGAUUCAUGGAAGCCUGUCCAAUCUUGGUCACUGAUCCUGCAAUGGAAGCAUACAUUGACUCAAGAAAGAAAUUUAGAGAGAGAGAAACUAGGAACUAACUUUUACCUGCAGCUCCAGAUACCUGUCUGAAAUCCUUGCAUCAUGUGAUCGAUACUCCCAAGGUAAAGCAUUCACUUUAUAUUUAUUCUAAGAAAUGAAAUCAGUAGAGGGGAAGUCAGA
This 1001-nucleotide long non-coding RNA is filed under the name Brassica rapa (field mustard). RNAcentral describes it as "long non-coding RNA (BRAP_LNC008772)". The record is from RNAcentral. Lineage: Eukaryota; Viridiplantae; Streptophyta; Magnoliopsida; Brassicales; Brassicaceae.